Molecule: non-coding RNA, 90 nt
Organism: Pan troglodytes (chimpanzee)
Lineage: Eukaryota; Metazoa; Chordata; Mammalia; Primates; Hominidae
Source: Rfam
CCUUCCGGCAUCCCAGGCGGGGCGCCGCGGGACCGCCCUCGUGUCUGUGGCGGUGGGAUCCCGCGGCCGUGUUUUCCUGGUGGCCCGGCC